Molecule: ribosomal RNA, 302 nt
Filed under: uncultured bacterium
Lineage: Bacteria
Description: partial 16S ribosomal RNA
Rfam family: Bacterial small subunit ribosomal RNA
Source: RNAcentral
GCAGUCGCCGCGGUAAUACGUAGGGUGCGAGCGUUAAUCGGAAUUACUGGGCGUAAAGCGUGCGCAGGCGGUUCGUUAAGACAGAUGUGAAAUCCCCGGGCUUAACCUGGGAACUGCAUUUGUGACUGGCGAGCUAGAGUAUGGCAGAGGGGGGUAGAAUUCCACGUGUAGCAGUGAAAUGCGUAGAGAUGUGGAGGAAUACCGAUGGCGAAGGCAGCCCCCUGGGCCAAUACUGACGCUCAUGCACGAAAGCGUGGGGAGCAAACAGGAUUAGAUACCCGAGUAGUCCCUGUCUCUUAUAC